This 516-nucleotide ribosomal RNA is filed under the name Salmonella enterica subsp. diarizonae. RNAcentral's name for it is "partial 23S ribosomal RNA". It matches the Rfam family "Bacterial large subunit ribosomal RNA", at positions 680 to 1194 of the family's 2925-position model. The record is from RNAcentral. Lineage: Bacteria; Pseudomonadati; Pseudomonadota; Gammaproteobacteria; Enterobacterales; Enterobacteriaceae.
AGUCUUAACCGGGCGUUAAGUUGCAGGGUAUAGACCCGAAACCCGGUGAUCUAGCCAUGGGCAGGUUGAAGGUUGGGUAACACUAACUGGAGGACCGAACCGACUAAUGUUGAAAAAUUAGCGGAUGACCUGUGGCUGGGGGUGAAAGGCCAAUCAAACCGGGAGAUAGCUGGUUCUCCCCGAAAGCUAUUUAGGUAGCGCCUCGUGAACUCAUCUCCGGGGGUAGAGCACUGUUUCGGCUAGGGGGCCAUCCCGGCUUACCAACCCGAUGCAAACUGCGAAUACCGGAGAAUGUUAUCACGGGAGACACACGGCGGGUGCUAACGUCCGUCGUGAAGAGGGAAACAACCCAGACCGCCAGCUAAGGUCCCAAAGUCAUGGUUAAGUGGGAAACGAUGUGGGAAGGCCCAGACAGCCAGGAUGUUGGCUUAGAAGCAGCCAUCAUUUAAAGAAAGCGUAAUAGCUCACUGGUCGAGUCGGCCUGCGCGGAAGAUGUAACGGGGCUAAACCAUGCAC